UUGACUCUAGGAGCUGCACACAUGUGCACAGCUGGCAGCAGCUGCAGCUGCUUCACACAAGCCAUCAGGCUGCCACCAUGGCUAUCUACAGGGACUCAAGCUACAGGAAGCCAGUGCCCAACAUUCUAGGUUCCCCACUAAAGUGCAACAUGCCUCUUCUAAAGUAGGGGUGCAGAGAAACGUUCCCAUCCCCGUCCUAGGUUUCUAGUCUGCACUGGGCAGCUGGGCCACUGAAUGGCAUGUGCCUCAGGAAGAACAUGUCUUUGAACAGUCAGAAUCUCUGAGACUGGCAGUGACGGUGGGUGCCUAACAGGCCUGUGGUGCAGCCUCAUCCCUCUGGCUCCUUUCCCAGGACUCUGCAGGCAGGAGGAGGCCAAACAGAUGGGACAGGACACGGCCAGCCAUAGCGUGACCUCCAACACCAUUGCUGGUCUUGUUCCAGUCUGCUCUCCUUGUUCCAGUGCUCUUCUAAAGCCCACUGGUGAGGAAGAGGUACACUCAGGCCUUCUCAAGUGUGAGAAUAAAGGCUGGCGGGAAUUGCAGGAGCCCCUCCGCAUUGCUGAGUUGCUAAAGCCCACUCUGACUUCUCCAUCUUAAAUGUCCGGUAGUAACACUGACAGCAAAGAUCCUGACCUACCAAACGGGACCUUCCAGGCAGAGAGGUGGCUCACCCAAGCCCACAGAUGCCAUGAGGGUGGAGAACAAAGAAUGCUGGUCUGCAAAGAAGGAAGGGAGAAGGUAUGCGUUAACUGCCAUGAUUCAACUGAGCAUGUCUCACAGGGCUUCCACACCAUCCCUAUCCGAGGCUUUUCCAAGGAUGGCACUGUGCACAUGGAUGUGCACACAGUAGGCAUUUUAUACUAUUUUUUGAGUAAAUGAAUUGGAGGAGGGAAUGCGUGUGCAUUAAGACAAACUCAGUUGUGCCAAAAGAAGUUUCUAGGUAGGUACAAGGCUGUACCUUGAGAGUAAAGCUGAGGAGGUGGGCAGUGGGUCACAUACUCUAGCAACCCCUGGUCAACAGCAGCUUGGGGCAAGGGGUUGGGAGCAGAGAGCACUGUGGGUGAUGCUCAGGAGGAAUCGGCCUGGCCCUCCAGGACAGCUUCUGAGGAACAAAACUGCAGGCAGUGACAAGAGGGCCCUACAAAUUAAGCCCUCUUUUCUUCAGUCAGACAUUUAGCCUACCAAUGUAGCAUGGGAAGAUCAAAGGACUUAAAGAAGAGUGAGCACGGUGACCACUNUGAACAUCCUUCUCCUGUCAACUAAAAGCAGUGCAGGUGAGACAGGCAACAGGCUGAGAGCUAAGCUGCACGAAGCCGGCCUGUACCUGGGGCUCAUGAUGGUAAACAGGAGGGCAGCGCCGGCGCAGAGGGGAGUACUCGUUCUUCUCUUUGUCCCUGGUCACCUCCUCCCUCCCUCUGUAACCCUCUGAGGAGAAGCACUCGUGCUAAAGCUUCAGCUCCAAGCUCCCAGAGCAUGGAAUCUGAGUGGGCUCCAGAUGAGCUGAGUGGCUUCUGGCUUCCUGUUCCUGGAAGGGCAGAGUGCAGCUCGCAGCUCUCUACUGCUGAUGCCAAGGGCAGUUCUUCAUGGAGACCAGGGAGACUUGAGCAGGCAACAUUCAAAGCAGCUGGCAGAGUCUGGUGUGGAGGUGGCUCAGACACCUGUCCCUCAGGUUCUCCUCUCUGGCUCCUUGGUCACCCUCCUUGUCAGGAGCACAUCAGGAGGACUCUUCCAGGGCAUUCACCACUUGUUCCAGAAUGUCAGGGCAGUGAUCGGCUAUCUGCUGGAGAAUGGUGUUGGCAAACUCCUGCAGCUCCGCGUUGUCCCCUUCAACUUUCUCCAACUCGUUCUGAAGCUGAAAGGGAAAAGAGGCAGGGUUCAGGUUAUUUGUACCGAGUGGGAAUUCAUCAGGAAAGAAAUGACAAGCAGAGUUGAUGUCCCUGUAUCAAAAGGAAUGUUCAAAACACACACAUUCCUAGACUCUCUUCAUGAAAGUAAGGCCCAGAGGAGUCAGUGCUGAGUCCAAGGCUGCACACUGUAACGUCCAGUGCUGACUUCAUGUGGAUGGCUGUGCCCAGGUGUCCAGACUCACAGGCCUGGGCGAUUGAGGAUCUCAACUUUGUGUGAAGCUCCUCCACAAAGAUUCCCCUUUGCUACACACAGCUGUGUUUCUGCAGGGGCCUCAGAUGGCUUGGUUAUUCUGAUAGAUAUCCUAGCCCACUGCUGAGGAGAGACCUCCCCCCCCAUGUGCUGUUCUCAGUCGCCCCGGACUGUGCUCCCCUAACUAGCGUCACCAGUGCCCUGUGUGAGGUCUGAAAGGCCGAGGAGCGAGUCCCUGUGCUGAAACUCCUUGUAGGCUGACAUCAGGACAAGAACAUCAACAUGUAACUCACAACCCAGGCCAGUGCAUACAGAGGCUUGAGGAUCUGGGUCACUUGGGAGAUCAGAGGCAGAUCAAAGAAACCUCAGGUAAGCUGGAUCCUGCAGUGAGGUGGGGGUGGGGGUGGGGGUAUGGAGUUGAAGAGAUAGGCAAGGGCCAGACUCCAAGAGAAGCUAGAGCGCAAGCCCCAACUGGUGCAAACUACAAGGAAAUCAUGUGCUUUUAAACGACACACUGACCCUGCUUUCGUCUUCUUAGAAGGUGACUUGGAAGGUAAGGAAAAAGCAGAUCAAUGGGCAGCAGGCGACACCCAGGGGUGAGCUUUGUAAGCACAAGGCAGAGUCACACAGGGGACAGAAGAGGCACCCACGAGAACAGAAACCACCUGUGAUGGGCUAGCCUCAGAAUGAGGGGGUAACAUGGCUCUCAAAUUCUAAAAUAUUUUGUAGAAGAGCUGCUGAAAACUGAGUGUCNAGUAUACAGUUCAGGUCCCAGGUUAGAACACAGCCUGGAUCUCAGUGUCAGCUCUGCCAUUUAUUGGCUGAUGUGACCCUGACCUCCCUCCCCUUCAGUAGGAUAGACCAGUAAUAUUUUCACAGGGCAGUUUUAGAGGAUUUAAUGACAAUCUCAUACGAAAGGCAGGGUAAUGCCCACUGCACUGAAAAUUCUUGAAAAAAGGUUAACUACUGUAAUUACUGUUAUCAAGCAGAGAAGAUGAUCCAGAAAAAGUAGAUUAAGUGGCAAAGAGAACCAAGUUUUCAGGACCCCACUGUUUGUUGACUAGACAUUCUGAGCCAUGAAUGAGCUUGGUACUUCUUAAGUGCAGCCAUCAGGGGGNGACUGGCAAUCUUUCUGCUGACUGUUGACCCUGAUCUGGAGGCUCAAGGACCAUAUUUAGACCACGNUAAGCCUUAGUGCAUCUUUAAAAGAUUCAAGGCAGGAGUUAAACUAAUCCAUUUUCACCUAGCAAUAUACUGUGCUUCCAAAUCAAAUCUCCAAAGCUGGCACAUAACUGACCCUGGGGAUGGGCUCUAGGGCCCGGUGCAUGCUGGGCAAACACUACGGCUGAGCUGUGAAUCCAGCAUCCACAAGGAUAUGUUAAAGAAGAAAGUAAAAACACUAUAAAACACACUAGCUAGAGGGCACUACAUUAGUAUCAUAGUAUCCACUGUACUUUGUAUUAGUCCCCCCCCCCCCAUCAGGGACAAAAAUACCUGACACAAACCACUUUAAAGGAGGAGUGACUUGUUUCAGCUCAUGGUUUUAGAGGGCUUGAUCUAUAGUCAGGUGCUAAGGGCUUGGCACCAGAUGGGAGCAUUACUGAGAUGGCUGAACCUUUAAGGGGUCCAAAGUUUUAGGCUCCUAGGAGGAGCUGUGCCUUUGCAGGGGACUGUGGGACUUUGGGCUGACCUUUCUUUGUGUGUGUGUGUGUGUGUGUGUGUGUGUGUGUGUACUCCAGCCACAACAUGAGCACUAGCUGCCCUGCUACAGGUCCAACAGCAAUAUGGCAACUGCUCGUGAGUGCAACCUCUGAAGCAGAGACCAGCAUGCCUCCUCUCUCUGUGAGAUGACAGGCUCCGACAGUUGUUACNGGGAGGGAGCUGGCACACAUCCUCUAUUUAAUGGAAUGGCAAACCAACUUCCUUACUGUAAAUAUUACAGUGAAAAAUAC
Molecule: long non-coding RNA, 4049 nt
Filed under: Mus caroli (Ryukyu mouse)
Lineage: Eukaryota; Metazoa; Chordata; Mammalia; Rodentia; Muridae
Description: predicted gene, 44317 (MGP_CAROLIEiJ_G0003926.1)
Source: RNAcentral